AGAGUUUGAUCCUGGCUCAGAGCGAACGCUGGCGGCAGGCUUAACACAUGCAAGUCGAACGGGCACCUUCGGGUGUCAGUGGCAGACGGGUGAGUAACACGUGGGAACGUGCCCUUCGGUUCGGAACAACUCAGGGAAACUUGAGCUAAUACCGGAUACGCCCUUCGGGGGAAAGAUUUAUCGCUGAAGGAUCGGCCCGCGUCUGAUUAGCUAGUUGGUGAGGUAAUGGCUCACCAAGGCGACGAUCAGUAGCUGGUCUGAGAGGAUGAUCAGCCACACUGGGACUGAGACACGGCCCAGACUCCUACGGGAGGCAGCAGUGGGGAAUAUUGGACAAUGGGCGCAAGCCUGAUCCAGCCAUGCCGCGUGAGUGAUGAAGGCCUUAGGGUUGUAAAGCUCUUUCGUCCGGGACGAUAAUGACGGUACCGGAAGAAGAAGCCCCGGCUAACUUCGUG
This 455-nucleotide ribosomal RNA is filed under the name uncultured Hyphomicrobiales bacterium. RNAcentral describes it as "bacterial SSU rRNA". It matches the Rfam family "Bacterial small subunit ribosomal RNA", at positions 8 to 507 of the family's 1533-position model. Lineage: Bacteria; Pseudomonadati; Pseudomonadota; Alphaproteobacteria; Hyphomicrobiales. The record is from RNAcentral.